AGAGACAGAGGCAGAAAUGAGGAGGGAGAAACAGCAGAUGGCCAUGACAAAAACAACAUAGAUACCUGCUAUCACACUCACAGACUUUCAGCUUCAUUUAUCAGAUUUUAAACUCAGGGAUUCUGUGAUUCUUGAAAAAUACCACCAUCUUUUGGACAUUUAUCGCACUUUAAAUGAAGAAGCAAUGUCUGCUGUAACGUCUGCAUCUCUCUGCCUGACUUUACUGUCUGUCUGCCUCUUGUUUGUCUCUGCAGACCAGAAAAUCAUCAUAGCUGUGCCGGGACAGACGGUCACUCUGCCAUGUCGAGCUCCAAACAGCGGCAACCCCAUCAUAGCUGCAGAGUGGAGCAGAGCUGACCUGGAGCAAGAAUAUGUCCUUUUUUACCGGGACGAUAAGCUUGAUACAGAAGAGCAGCAUCCGUCUUUUAAGAACCGGGUGGAUCUGCAGGACAGACAGAUGAAGGAUGGAGACAUGUCUCUGAUUCUGAAGGAUGUGACGACUGAUGACUCGGGAGCAUACGAGUGUUACGUGGUCCAGAGAGGAGCGAACCGCAGGAAGAGAGCCAGUCUGGAUAGUGACCCCAUCAGCACCACCUACCUGACUGUUGUUCCUCCAAGCCAGAAAAACAUCACAGCUGAGUCUGGACAGAACGUCACUCUGACAUGUCGAGCGCCAAACACUGUCCUCAUACCAGGUGUAGAGUGGAGCAGACGUGACUUGAAGGCACAAUAUGUGCUUUGGUACUGGGAAAAACAAUUUGUUCCAUAUUACCAGCAUCCAUCUUUUAAGAACCGGGUGGAUCUGCAGGACAGACAGAUGAAGGAUGGAGGCGUGUCUUUGAUUCUGAAGGAUGUUACGACUGCUGAUAGGGGAACAUAUGAGUGUUGUGUCGUCCAUGAAGUAAGAGAAGGUAGAAAGUUGGCCAUUUUAAAGACUGAGCCCAUCAGCGUCAUCCACCUAAAGGUUAUUUCACCAGGUCAGCCAGGAGGACACGGAGAGGAUGGAGCUGUUGGACUAACAGUUGUUAUUGUGCUUUCUAUUGCUCUUUUUGCAACUAUAAUAUACUACAUAAAAAUGAUAGAAAAUACAGAAGGAGAAAAAAACAGCACUUCCCAGACGAGCAGCAAGCUGAAACGCUCCACUCGUGUCACUCGUCCCACCUUUCGUAGCAAAAAGACAGAUGCUUCCAAGACAGAUAUCACAAAACCAUGAACAGAAAAAAAACCUGUGAUAAGAACCUGGAUGAAGGGGCAAAGUCAGCACUUUUCAGUUGCAGUGAAAAUAAAACAAAGAAACAAAAAGAAAGAAAAUUGAAAAAAAGAAAAACCCACCAAUGAUAAAAUCUACCUCUGUUACCUUUCUGGCACUUAGGCAGUUAGACAUUCUUUAGAUUCCUACAGUUUACAAUCUUGAGAUCAAGGUUUAAAGCAGAAAAAAAUGAUGCAAGUAUUUCCAUCACAGUCGGAUUAAAAUCUGUUCACUGUAAAAAAAAAAAAAAAAAAGUAAGUAUUUGGGGAGGUGAACCUGAACCACUAGGUCAGUUCUGAUAGAUCAGAGAGUUACUGGAUCUUAUCUGACAUCUGUUUCUGCCUGGUUACAGUUGAUGAGUAAGAGACAAAGAAAGGUGUUUUGCCGUUUUUUUUUGUCAAACUUGUUUUGUGGACUCCCGCAUGAAAAUACUGCUUAAAACAAUUAAAGGAGCACUUUAAAAAUAGAUCAGACGUCAAAGCUCAUGCUAGACAGGUAUAUGAUAUGGAGUGGGUAGCGUGUUAAAAGGGAUGCCACAUAGUUUCAUGGAAAUGAAACUUAUCUAGUAGACUGAACUUAAAGAAACAUCAAACAUCAAGGUGAAAGGAUUAUGUGGAAGGCUGGUCCAUUUUUCAGUAACUCAUACUGGUGCUCAGUUUGGAUGGCUCCCAUGUGCUUGUAUGUCUACCUGACAACAUCAGGUCAUGCUAAUGAUGGAUGGUGUCUCCUCCGAGACCUGGAAUAAGGCAUCACUGAGCUCCUCGACCAUCUGAGGUGGACCGAAAAUUUAAUGUCACCAAGGUGUUCAAUUGGAUUUUGAACCGGUCAGUGGCAUCAAUUUCUUCAGCCUUCAGGAACUGCCUGCAUACUCUUGCCACAUAGCACUGGGAAUUAUUGUGCACCAGGAGGAACCCAGGAUCCAGGAUAUGCCAGACCAUCACUGACCAACAACCAACUGCCAACCUGUGUAGGGUCCAGGUAUAGACUCGUGCUACCAGCAAUGACACUGACCCCAGCCAAAUGAAAAACUAGUAAAAAAAAAUCAGAAAAGAUGAGGGGGGUUGAGUUGCCUGAUUGUUGCUAAACUCUGAUUUAAAAAAAGACUGUAUCCGUUUUUAAAGUUUAGUAUUUUCCCAUCUGUCCAUGAAAUGUUAAGUGGUGAAAAAGAAAAAAGAAAUUCUUUGUGGCACAAUAUUAUCAGGAUCAAUAAAAAUAAAAUAUGCA
Long non-coding RNA from Astatotilapia calliptera (eastern happy), 2473 nucleotides. The record is from Ensembl. NCBI's taxonomy places the organism in Eukaryota, Metazoa, Chordata, Actinopteri, Cichliformes, Cichlidae.